GAUCCGUAACUUCGGGAGAAGGAUUGACUCCGGGGGCGAAUCAGACAGGCCGAGAUCAGAUACGUGUCGAUCCAGUUGGGGGCUGGUUUCUUUGUUGCUUUGUGUGCUUCGGUGCGCGUUGUGGUGAGGUUACUGGACUAUGACCCGGGUCGAUCGUGGGCAGUUUCCGUUGUUAGUGUCGUGCAGCUAGCAACGCGCGAGGACAUGUUCCACGUUGCUUCAAGCGGCUGUACUUCCAUGGUCUGGCGCGCGAUGGCUAACUCAGAACUGUCACGGACCAGGGGAAUCCGACUGUCUAAUUAAAACAAAGCAUUGCGAUGUCUACUGUGUGGUUUUGACGCAAUAUGAUUUCUGCACGGAAUGUCAAAGUGAAGAAAUUCAACCAAGCGCGGGUAAACGGCGGGGGUAACUACGGCCGAAUUUAACUCAAACAUUGGGUAUUAGUUAAUAAUGAGAGGUAAUACACGUCAACUG
This 474-nucleotide non-coding RNA is filed under the name Schistosoma mansoni. RNAcentral's name for it is "Eukaryotic large subunit ribosomal RNA". It matches the Rfam family "Eukaryotic large subunit ribosomal RNA", at positions 1925 to 2273 of the family's 3401-position model. Lineage: Eukaryota; Metazoa; Platyhelminthes; Trematoda; Strigeidida; Schistosomatidae. The record is from Rfam by way of RNAcentral.